UACGUAGGUGGCAAGCGUUGUCCGGAUUUACUGGGUGUAAAGGGCGUGUAGCCGGGCUUACAAGUCAGAUGUGAAAUCCGGGGGCUCAACCCCCGAACUGCAUUUGAAACUGUAGGUCUUGAGUAUCGGAGAGGCAGGCGGAAUUCCUAGUGUAGCGGUGAAGUGCGUAGAUAUUAGGAGGAACACCAGUGGCGAAGGCGGCCUGCUGGACGACAACUGACGGUGAGGCGCGAAAGCGUGGGGAGCAAACAGG
This 253-nucleotide ribosomal RNA is filed under the name uncultured bacterium. RNAcentral's name for it is "partial 16S ribosomal RNA". It matches the Rfam family "Bacterial small subunit ribosomal RNA", at positions 524 to 776 of the family's 1533-position model. The record is from RNAcentral.